Molecule: ribosomal RNA, 1549 nt
Filed under: Staphylococcus aureus
Lineage: Bacteria; Bacillati; Bacillota; Bacilli; Caryophanales; Staphylococcaceae
Description: S rRNA
Rfam family: Bacterial small subunit ribosomal RNA
Source: RNAcentral
UUUUUAUGGAGAGUUUGAUCCUGGCUCAGGAUGAACGCUGGCGGCGUGCCUAAUACAUGCAAGUCGAGCGAACGGACGAGAAGCUUGCUUCUCUGAUGUUAGCGGCGGACGGGUGAGUAACACGUGGAUAACCUACCUAUAAGACUGGGAUAACUUCGGGAAACCGGAGCUAAUACCGGAUAAUAUUUUGAACCGCAUGGUUCAAAAGUGAAAGACGGUCUUGCUGUCACUUAUAGAUGGAUCCGCGCUGCAUUAGCUAGUUGGUAAGGUAACGGCUUACCAAGGCAACGAUGCAUAGCCGACCUGAGAGGGUGAUCGGCCACACUGGAACUGAGACACGGUCCAGACUCCUACGGGAGGCAGCAGUAGGGAAUCUUCCGCAAUGGGCGAAAGCCUGACGGAGCAACGCCGCGUGAGUGAUGAAGGUCUUCGGAUCGUAAAACUCUGUUAUUAGGGAAGAACAUAUGUGUAAGUAACUGUGCACAUCUUGACGGUACCUAAUCAGAAAGCCACGGCUAACUACGUGCCAGCAGCCGCGGUAAUACGUAGGUGGCAAGCGUUAUCCGGAAUUAUUGGGCGUAAAGCGCGCGUAGGCGGUUUUUUAAGUCUGAUGUGAAAGCCCACGGCUCAACCGUGGAGGGUCAUUGGAAACUGGAAAACUUGAGUGCAGAAGAGGAAAGUGGAAUUCCAUGUGUAGCGGUGAAAUGCGCAGAGAUAUGGAGGAACACCAGUGGCGAAGGCGACUUUCUGGUCUGUAACUGACGCUGAUGUGCGAAAGCGUGGGGAUCAAACAGGAUUAGAUACCCUGGUAGUCCACGCCGUAAACGAUGAGUGCUAAGUGUUAGGGGGUUUCCGCCCCUUAGUGCUGCAGCUAACGCAUUAAGCACUCCGCCUGGGGAGUACGACCGCAAGGUUGAAACUCAAAGGAAUUGACGGGGACCCGCACAAGCGGUGGAGCAUGUGGUUUAAUUCGAAGCAACGCGAAGAACCUUACCAAAUCUUGACAUCCUUUGACAACUCUAGAGAUAGAGCCUUCCCCUUCGGGGGACAAAGUGACAGGUGGUGCAUGGUUGUCGUCAGCUCGUGUCGUGAGAUGUUGGGUUAAGUCCCGCAACGAGCGCAACCCUUAAGCUUAGUUGCCAUCAUUAAGUUGGGCACUCUAAGUUGACUGCCGGUGACAAACCGGAGGAAGGUGGGGAUGACGUCAAAUCAUCAUGCCCCUUAUGAUUUGGGCUACACACGUGCUACAAUGGACAAUACAAAGGGCAGCGAAACCGCGAGGUCAAGCAAAUCCCAUAAAGUUGUUCUCAGUUCGGAUUGUAGUCUGCAACUCGACUACAUGAAGCUGGAAUCGCUAGUAAUCGUAGAUCAGCAUGCUACGGUGAAUACGUUCCCGGGUCUUGUACACACCGCCCGUCACACCACGAGAGUUUGUAACACCCGAAGCCGGUGGAGUAACCUUUUAGGAGCUAGCCGUCGAAGGUGGGACAAAUGAUUGGGGUGAAGUCGUAACAAGGUAGCCGUAUCGGAAGGUGCGGCUGGAUCACCU